AGGUAGGGUGGCCGAGUAGGUGGCAGGUUGUAGCCCUGUUUACGGGGCAUUCGCCCCCCCAACCAG
Molecule: transfer RNA, 66 nt
Filed under: Cyrtodactylus pulchellus (Malayan forest gecko)
Lineage: Eukaryota; Metazoa; Chordata; Lepidosauria; Squamata; Gekkonidae
Description: tRNA-Tyr
Source: RNAcentral